UUUUUUGUUCAAAUAUAAUUGAUAAUUUCAUUAAUGAAGGGGUUAAACAUGGCCCAGACUAAAAGGGAGCACAACGAAACAAUACAGCAACUUAUUCUACCCUGGCCCCAUACAAAGUCCAUGGCCCAACAAACCAAACUCUAAGCCCCAUACAAUGUCUAUCGCCCAACAAGCCUAACCCUAAGCAGUAGAGGCGUCCAAAAUGCACAACCAACGACCGGUACCACCACCGCCGCUAAUUGUGGACUGUAGACCCCGGGAAGAACGAGAAAAUUUUGACAGGAAGACCUAAAUUUAGACAUUGUCCUGAGCACCAAAACUUACUAAUGCAUUUCAAAAUCAAGAAAAGCACAAAAUCCAUUCGCUAUUAUGAUAAGUUUACGGAUAGAGAAAUUUUG
This 398-nucleotide unclassified non-coding RNA is filed under the name Hevea brasiliensis (rubber tree). Lineage: Eukaryota; Viridiplantae; Streptophyta; Magnoliopsida; Malpighiales; Euphorbiaceae. The record is from RNAcentral.